UCAGAUUGAACGCUGGCGGCAGGCCUAACACAUGCAAGUCGAACGGUAACAGGAAGAAGCUUGCUCUUUGCUGACGAGUGGCGGACGGGUGAGUAAUGUCUGGGAAACUGCCUGAUGAGGGGGAUAACUACUGGAAACGGUAGCUAAUACCGCAUAACGUCGCAAGACCAAAGAGGGGGACCUUCGGGCCUCUUGCCAUCGGAUGUGCCCAGAUGGGAUUAGCUAGUAGGUGGGGUAACGGCUCACCUAGGCGACGAUCCCUAGCUGGUCUGAGAGGAUGACCAGCCACACUGGAACUGAGACACGGUCCAGACUCCUACGGGAGGCAGCAGUGGGGAAUAUUGCACAAUGGGCGCAAGCCUGAUGCAGCCAUGCCGCGUGUAUGAAGAAGGCCUUCGGGUUGUAAAGUACUUUCAGCGGGGAGGAAGGGAGUAAAGUUAAUACCUUUGCUCAUUGACGUUACCCGCAGAAGAAGCACCGGCUAACUCCGUG
Molecule: ribosomal RNA, 492 nt
Filed under: uncultured bacterium
Lineage: Bacteria
Description: bacterial SSU rRNA
Rfam family: Bacterial small subunit ribosomal RNA
Source: RNAcentral